GCACGUAGAUUUUUCCCUUUGACAACUGGAGUUAACUUUGGUGCUAAUCUAUAUGAAAAUUUGCCUUUAUAGCGUUUUGUGAUCACUUUUCCUUUUGAAUUAGCUACCUUCUUCCUACUACUUUCCUCACCACCGCUCACCAAAAUUCCUUUUGCUUUAUGCAUAAUCUAUCACCAAAAGUUCUCCAGUAACACAAUCCACGUUUGCAGUGUUUAUUGGUUUGAAAAGCUCUGCUCUUUUCCUCUGAUUUAACCCUAGAUCCAUUUACCCUCUAAUAUUCUCAACUACUACUGGGUUUCUAUUGUUUCCUCCGGGAUCUAGACGAAAUUACCAAGAUGUUUAGGCUGGGCAAAAAUGUGGACUCAAUAUACUGGCAAGAAAAAGGAAAACGCCAAUGCUCUAAAGAAAGAGGCACCAAAAUAAAAUAAAGACGCCGUGAAAUAUAUAGGGCGACAUCAGCUGAUAGAAAAGAACUGAACUUAUUGCAGUGGCGGUCGACAUAUCUUCAUUCUAGAACACAGAAGCCAAUCAGUACUUCCACUGAAGUAUCAACCUCUUAUAAAUUUAAUGGAGAGUUUGUUGAACAAACAGUUUCUCUAAGAGGAGUCUCAUCUUCUAUUCUGAGAACAAGUUUGUAAACUAAGAUUUUGUUAUCUUGAAACGAACUAUGAGACAUUAAACAUUUACAUAUUUAAUACGUUCAUAACACUUUUUUUUGUCUUAGAAAAUAUUUUCACAGUUCAAGAUUCCCCUGUUUCUAUUAACGUCAAAGAUGUAUGUGAUAGCUCCUGUAUUUUUGAACUUGGUAAGUGUGGAAGUAUGGUGUUCAAAUUUGAAGAA
This is a long non-coding RNA of Nicotiana tabacum (common tobacco), 840 nucleotides long. RefSeq lists it as uncharacterized. Lineage: Eukaryota; Viridiplantae; Streptophyta; Magnoliopsida; Solanales; Solanaceae. The record is from RefSeq and is a predicted model, not a curated record.